Molecule: long non-coding RNA, 255 nt
Organism: Camponotus floridanus (Florida carpenter ant)
Lineage: Eukaryota; Metazoa; Arthropoda; Insecta; Hymenoptera; Formicidae
Exons: 3
Source: RefSeq, a predicted model, not a curated record
AUGAAAAUAAGAAAAUUUAUAUACGUAAUAUAAAAGAAACGAAACUUACGAAACUAACGAUCAGGCGAGGAUGUUGAAAAUUCCAGUGGAGAUAACGCAACGUGCUGGACUUGGCCUUGCACGCUUGUUCGACUCUUCGAGUGCACACGCAUAAUAUUCUACGUGCAAUUAUUUGUGAUGCUAUGGCCCGGGAACACCUGUUGAAUAGGAACACGAAUAUAGGGCGUCCAUAUAAUUUCGUCAUAUGAAAACUUG